RNAcentral lists this ribosomal RNA (494 nucleotides) under uncultured bacterium. Its description in RNAcentral is "partial 16S ribosomal RNA". It matches the Rfam family "Bacterial small subunit ribosomal RNA", at positions 28 to 507 of the family's 1533-position model. The record is from RNAcentral.
GACGAACGCUGGCGGCGCGCUUAACACAUGCAAGUCGAACGGAAAGGCCUGCUUUCCCUUGUGGAUUGCGGGUACUCGAGUGGCGAACGGGUGAGUAACACGUGAGUGAUCUGCCCCCAACUUGGGUAUAAGCCUGGGAAACUGGGUCUAAUUCCCGAUAGGACUGCAGGGUGGUGCCUGUGAUGGAAAACGAUUUUCUAGUGGUUGGGGAUGAGCUCGCGGCCUAUCAGCUUGUUGGUGGGGUAAUGGCCUACCAAGGCGGCGACGGGUAGCCGGCCUGAGAGGGUGGACGGCCACAUUGGGACUGAGAUACGGCCCAGACUCCUACGGGAGGCAGCAGUGGGGAAUAUUGCACAAUGGGCGGAAGCCUGAUGCAGCGACGCCGCGUGGGGGAUGACGGCCUUCGGGUUGUAAACUCCUUUCGACCGCGAGGAAGCCACCUGGUUGGAAGGGUGGUGACGGUAGUGGUAGAAGAAGCACCGGCUAACUACGUG